AUGCAAGUCGAACGGUAGCACAGAGAGCUUGCUCUCGGGUGACGAGUGGCGGACGGGUGAGUAAUGUCUGGGAAACUGCCUGAUGGAGGGGGAUAACUACUGGAAACGGUAGCUAAUACCGCAUAACGUCGCAAGACCAAAGAGGGGGACCUUCGGGCCUCUUGCCAUCAGAUGUGCCCAGAUGGGAUUAGCCAGCUGGUGAGGUAAUGGCUCACCAGGGCGACGAUCCCUAGCUGGUCUGAGAGGAUGACCAGCCACACUGGAACUGAGACACGGUCCAGACUCCUACGGGAGGCAGCAGUGGGGAAUAUUGCACAAUGGGCGCAAGCCUGAUGCAGCCAUGCCGCGUGUGUGAAGAAGGCCUUCGGGUUGUAAAGCACUUUCAGCGAGGAGGAAGGCAUUAAGGUUAAUAACCUUAUUGAUUGACGUUACUCGCAGAAGAAGCACCGGCUAACUCCGUGCCAGCAGCCGCGGUAAUACGGAGGGUGCAAGCGUUAAUCGGAAUUACUGGGCGUAAAGCGCACGCAGGCGGUCUGUCAAGUCGGAUGUGAAAUCCCCGGGCUCAACCUGGGAACUGCAUUCGAAACUGGCAGGCUUGAGUCUCGUAGAGGGGGGUAGAAUUCCAGGUGUAGCGGUGAAAUGCGUAGAGAUCUGGAGGAAUACCGGUGGCGAAGGCGGCCCCCUGGACAAAGACUGACGCUCAGGUGCGAAAGCGUGGGGAGCAAACAGGAUUAAAUACCCUGGUAGUCC
RNAcentral lists this ribosomal RNA (750 nucleotides) under uncultured bacterium. RNAcentral's name for it is "bacterial SSU rRNA". It matches the Rfam family "Bacterial small subunit ribosomal RNA", at positions 55 to 796 of the family's 1533-position model. The record is from RNAcentral.